This 387-nucleotide RNase P RNA is filed under the name Coriobacteriales bacterium. RNAcentral's name for it is "RNase P RNA component class A". It matches the Rfam family "Bacterial RNase P class A". Rfam says of the family: Ribonuclease P (RNase P) is a ubiquitous endoribonuclease, found in archaea, bacteria and eukarya as well as chloroplasts and mitochondria. Its best characterised activity is the generation of mature 5'-ends of tRNAs by cleaving the 5'-leader elements of precursor-tRNAs. Cellular RNase Ps are ribonucleoproteins. The record is from RNAcentral. Lineage: Bacteria; Bacillati; Actinomycetota; Coriobacteriia; Coriobacteriales.
GGAGUGGGCCGGAUGGUCGCGCGCUUUGUAGCCAUUUUGGUUAUGCGGCGUGAGGAAAGUCCGGACUCCACAGGGCAGGAUGCCAGCUAACGGCUGGGCGGGGCAACCCGACGGAAAGUGCCACAGAAAAGAAAACUCCCCCGCUUUGUCCCAUCGCUUUGAUGAGUGGCUCAUUACGCGGGAGAAAAGCUGAAACGGUGCGGUAAGAGCGCACCAGCGCCACGGUAACGCGGCGGCUUGGCAAACCCCAUCCGGUGCAAGGGCAAAUAGGAGCGCGUUCGGUUGGCCCGACCGGCGCUCGGGUUGCCCGCUUGAGGGCGACGGCGACGUCGCUCCCAGAUAAAUGGCCAUCUGAGACAGAAUCCGGCUUACCCGCCCACUCCGGCU